Molecule: ribosomal RNA, 302 nt
Filed under: Rhodococcus sp. (in: high G+C Gram-positive bacteria)
Lineage: Bacteria; Bacillati; Actinomycetota; Actinomycetes; Mycobacteriales; Nocardiaceae
Description: bacterial SSU rRNA
Rfam family: Bacterial small subunit ribosomal RNA
Source: RNAcentral
GAGUACUGCAGGGGGAGACUGGAAUUCCUGGUGUAGCGGUGAAAUGCGCAGUAUAUCAGGUAGGAACACCGGUGGCGAAGGCGGGUCUCUGGGCAGUAACUGACGCUGAGGAACGAAAGCGUGGGUAGCGAACAGGAUUAGAUACCCUGGUAGUCCACGCCGUAAACGGUGGGCGCUAGGUGUGGGUUCCUUCCACGGAAUCCGUGCCGUAGCUAACGCAUUAAGCGCCCCGCCUGGGGAGUACGGCCGCAAGGCUAAAACUCAAAGGAAUUGACGGGGGCCCGCACAAGCGGCGGAGCAUG